RNAcentral lists this ribosomal RNA (405 nucleotides) under Coscinodiscus sp. RNAcentral's name for it is "partial large subunit ribosomal RNA". It matches the Rfam family "Bacterial large subunit ribosomal RNA", at positions 2081 to 2485 of the family's 2925-position model. Lineage: Eukaryota; Bacillariophyta; Coscinodiscophyceae; Coscinodiscales; Coscinodiscaceae. The record is from RNAcentral.
CAGAAAGACCCUAUGAAGCUUUACUGUAACUUGAAAUUGAAAUUGGACUUUAUUCGCGCAGUAUAGGUGGGAGGCGUUGAUUAUAGUCUUGCGGGACUAUCGGAGCCAUUAGUGAGAUACCACUCUUGUAAUGUUAGAUUUCUAACUUUGAAUCAUGACCUGGUCAAAGAACAGUUUCAGGCGGGCAGUUUGACUGGGGCGGUCGCCUCCUAAAUGGUAACGGAGGCGUACAAAGGUUUCCUCUGAACGGGUAGAAAUCGUAUCUAGAGUGUAAAGGCAUAAGGAAGCUUGACUGUGAGACCUACAAGUCGAGCAGGGACGAAAGUCGGUCUUAGUGAUCUGACGGUACUGAGUGGAAAGGCCGUCACUCAACGGAUAAAAGUUACUCUAGGGAUAACAGGCUGA